GAGUUUGAUCCUGGCUCAGGAUGAACGCUAGCGGCAGGCCUAAUACAUGCAAGUCAGAGGGGUAGCAAUACCACUGGCGCACGGGUGCGUAACGCGUAUGCAACCUACCGUUCACUGGGGGAUAACACCGGGAAACCGGUGCUAAUACCGCAUAAAGCAGUUGCUGGGCAUCCAGGGAUUGCUAAAGUUUUGAUGGUGAACGAUGGGCAUGCGUCUGAUUAGCUAGUUGGCGGGGUAAUGGCCCACCAAGGCGACGAUCAGUAGGGGAUCUGAGAGGAUAAUCCCCCACACUGGCACUGAGAUACGGGCCAGACUCCUACGGGAGGCAGCAGUAGGGAGUAUUGGGCAAUGGGCGAAAGCCUGACCCAGCCAUGCCGCGUGCAGGAAGACGGCCCUCUGGGUUGUAAACUGCUUUUGUCGGGGAAGAAAAGGGCCGUGCGCGGCUCACUGACGGUACCCGAUGAAUAAGCCACGGCUAACUACGUGCCAGCAGCCGCGGUAAUACGUAGGUGGCAAGCGUUGCCCGGAUUUAUUGGGUUUAAAGGGUGCGUAGGUGGUCGGUUAAGUCCGUGGUGAAAGACGAUCGCUCAACGAUUGCAGUGCCAUGGAUACUGACCGACUUGAAUGACGUUGAGGUGGGCGGAAUUGACCGUGUAGCGGUGAAAUGCUUAGAUAUGGUCAAGAACCCCAAUUGCGUAGGCAGCUCACUGGACGUCGAUUGACACUGAGGCACGAGAGUGCGGGGAUCAAACAGGAUUAGAUACCCUGGUAGUCCCGCACCGUAAACGAUGAUUACUAACUGUUGGCGAUACACUGUUCAGCGGUACAGCGAAAGCGUUAAGUAAUCCACCUGGGGAGUACGCCCGCAACGGUGAAACUCAAAGGAAUUGACGGGGGGUCCGCCCAACCGGUGGAGCAUGU
This 921-nucleotide ribosomal RNA is filed under the name uncultured bacterium. Its description in RNAcentral is "bacterial SSU rRNA". It matches the Rfam family "Bacterial small subunit ribosomal RNA", at positions 9 to 942 of the family's 1533-position model. The record is from RNAcentral.